UACGUAGGGGGCAAGCGUUGUCCGGAUUUAUUGGGCGUAAAGAGCGUGUAGGCGGCCAUACAGGUCAGCUGUGAAAACUCGAGGCUCAACCUCGAGACGUCGGUUGAAACCGUAUGGCUAGAGUCCGGAAGAGGAGAGUGGAAUUCCCGGUGUAGCGGUGAAAUGCGCAGAUAUCGGGAAGAACACCUAUGGCGAAGGCAGCUCUCUGGGACGGUACUGACGCUGAGACGCGAAAGCGUGGGGAGCGAACCGG
Molecule: ribosomal RNA, 253 nt
Filed under: uncultured bacterium
Lineage: Bacteria
Description: partial 16S ribosomal RNA
Rfam family: Bacterial small subunit ribosomal RNA
Source: RNAcentral